CGUAGGUAACCUGCCUGGUAGCGGGGGGUAACUAUUGGAAACGAUAGCUAAUACCGCAUAACAGUCGACAUUGCAUGAUGUUGAUUUGAAAGGGGGCAAUUGCUCCACUACCAGAUGGACCUGCGUUGUAUUAGCUAGUUGGUGAGGUAACGGCUCACCAAGGCGACGAUACAUAGCCGACCUGAGAGGGUGAUCGGCCACACUGGGACUGAGACACGGCCCAG
This 224-nucleotide ribosomal RNA is filed under the name uncultured bacterium. RNAcentral's name for it is "partial 16S ribosomal RNA". It matches the Rfam family "Bacterial small subunit ribosomal RNA", at positions 116 to 334 of the family's 1533-position model. The record is from RNAcentral.